UAUAUCAUUAGGUGGGGAUAAAUUCAUCUUGUACAGGAGUGAACAGAGAAGGAGUCAUCAUGGCAGCGGGCAGCAGAGGAGAGAUGCUGCUGAUGCUGGUCUACCUGCUCUGCUGCGUACCUGCAGCUGAGACCUGCCUGCAAUGUGAGCGCAUCAUCAGGCUCCUUCAUGAAGACCUCAUCCUUUCAGCUCCAACAGUUAAAGAUCAGAUAGAGCUGGCUUUGAUUUGUGACCAUGCCUAUGAGAACUACAAGCUAACAAGUCGUCAAAGAAAGGGUGUCAUUGAUCCCACGACUCUGUACAGAGUCAGAACUGAGUACCAAAGUGAAUUUAAUCGCUUCUGGAACAUGAAUAAAAGUGGGUCGAUAACUUCAAAAACCAUUCAGAUUAUGGAGAAAGGCAAUAGGAUCUUGGAGAAACACUUGGACACUUUCAUCAGUGACGGACUCUGCCCCAACAAGUGUGGAUUUCUCAAAAGAAGAGUAAUUGACUGCCUUACCUGCAAGUUCAAGACGUACAUUUGCCCCUCUCCAUCCGGUCAGCCCAACUGUGGUGAAACCCCAGUGCAAGCUGAAGAAGGAGGCCAGGUGGUGUUCAGCUGUUACCAACCAUGGCAUUAUCUUAUUUCAGGAAAACCAGAAUACUACUACUCCUGGGCCCCGGUAGUGCCAGGAACUAAAAAGCUAAACGAAAGUGACUUUGUGCCCUUGGUGGUGACGCAUGACUCCUCUGUGGUCUUAAAUCAGCUGCAACUGGAUGAACAAGGAACCUAUCGCUGCUCCCUGCAGGAGGAAAACAGGACCGUCUUUUACCAAGUUACCUUCCUUCUUACAGUGACUCCUUUGCCUUGCCAGACUCUCAGAUCUUUUGUCACCCUGCCCUCGCUACCGUAUGGAGACAGCGACUCACCCCUCCAGCCCACAAAGGCCCGGCUGGUGCCAGUCAUUGCCAUGGCUGCUGCACUGAGUCUGAUCGUGAGCGUAGGCCUCACAGUUGCUCUGGGAUUGAUAAUGACUCAGAAGAGAGAAGUCAACAACCUAAGACAGAGAUGGAGGAAUGUGACAGAAGAUACAGAGAAUACUGCAUUACAACUAUCGUAAAGAAAAAAAUUAUUCUCCAAUGAAUAAAAAAGUUUAAAGUUUUU
Molecule: long non-coding RNA, 1144 nt
Filed under: Oryzias javanicus (javanese ricefish)
Lineage: Eukaryota; Metazoa; Chordata; Actinopteri; Beloniformes; Adrianichthyidae
Description: lncRNA (ENSOJAG00000008340.1)
Source: RNAcentral